This 255-nucleotide ribosomal RNA is filed under the name uncultured bacterium. RNAcentral describes it as "partial 16S ribosomal RNA". It matches the Rfam family "Bacterial small subunit ribosomal RNA", at positions 524 to 776 of the family's 1533-position model. The record is from RNAcentral.
UACGGGGGGAGCAAGCGUUGUUCGGAUUUACUGGGCGUAAAGGGCGCGUAGGCGGCCAGCGCAAGUCGGUUGUGAAAUCUCCGGGCUUAACUCGGAAAGGUCAACUGAUACUGCGCGGCUAGAGUGCAGAAGGGGCAACUGGAAUUCUCGGUGUAGCGGUGAAAUGCGUAGAUAUCGAGAGGAACACCUGCGGCGAAGGCGGGUUGCUGGGCUGACACUGACGCUGAGUGCGCGAAAGCCAGGGGAGCGAACGGG